Molecule: transfer RNA, 73 nt
Filed under: Paramuricea clavata
Lineage: Eukaryota; Metazoa; Cnidaria; Anthozoa; Malacalcyonacea; Plexauridae
Rfam family: tRNA
About the family: Transfer RNA (tRNA) molecules are approximately 80 nucleotides in length. Their secondary structure includes four short double-helical elements and three loops (D, anti-codon, and T loops).
Source: Rfam by way of RNAcentral
GACCGCGUAGCUCAGUUGGCAGAGCAUUGGGCUAGUAUUCCAAAGGUCGUAGUUUCGAUUCCCACCGCGGCCG